AUGUACUCGCGGCGGAGGCUUCUCUCGCUCCUGCGGCACGCUCGCCUCGCCCCGGCGGGUCGUCUCGCCGCCGCGCCGCCUUCGAGGAGCUUCAGCCUGCCCCGCGCGGCCGUCGGCGCGGCCUCCACCUCAGGUUCUAGUGAUGGUCACUUCAGUUGUAAGGGUUCAACAUAUGCCGCCAUACUGAUUGGGCAAGCAGCUGUUGUUCUUGGCCUGAGCAGCAACUCUGUAUUGGCUCAGGAUGAUUUGGUUGCUCCAGCAGCUACAAGUGAGCACGCUGAUGUAAAUGUUACUGGCCUGCGUCGUAUUGAAGAUGGUUCAGUGAUCUCAAAUGAACACACGAUCAAAUGGAGAAUGUGCACUGAUAAAGCACGAGAGUUUUUCAUGGAAGGAAAACUAGAUGAAGCCGAGAAGUUAUUCAAGGCAGCCUUACAAGAAGCUAAAGAAGGAUUUGGACUCAGAGAUCCACAUGCUGCAUCAGCUCUGAACAACUUGGCAGAGUUUUAUAGGCUAAGGAAAGAGUAUGAGAAAGCUGAGCCGUUAUAUCUGGAAGCGAUUGAAAUCUUGGAGCAAUCAUUUGGACCUGAUGAUAUACGGGUUGGAGCAGCUUUUCGUAAUCUUGGGCAAUACUAUUAUAUUCAACGCAGGUUUGAUCAAGCUCAGACAUGUUUUGAGCGUGCUUUGAAGAUAGAAGGACGUGUUAUGGGGCUUGGUAACCCAGACUAUGCAAAUACAAUGUACCUUCUUGCCAAGGUUUUAAGUCAACAAGGAAAAGGAAAAGAUGCAGAAGCUCUUAUUCGAGAGUCUAUUAGGAUACUUGAGGAAGCUGGACUUGGCGAAUCACCUGCGUGCAUACAAAGAAUGAAGUUUCUCUCUUUGGAGUUGGUGAAGUCAAAGCAACUGGCUGAAGCUGAAAAUUUGCAAAGGAAGAUAUUACAUAAUCUGGAGCUUUCAAAGGGAUGGAAUUCAUUGGAUACUACAGCCGCAGCCGAAACCUUAAGUGUUACUCUUCAAAACAUAGGGAAUUUGAAGGAAUCAGAAGAACUAUUGGAAAGAUGCCUCACUGUCAGAAGGAAAAUUCUCUCUGAAGAUCAUUUUGAGGUAGCAGGUAUAUUGGUACACUUGGCAAGGCUAACUUUGCUUAAAAUUACUAGUGAUAUCAAGGUAAACAAUGAUCUGUCUACGCCUCACCUUGUCAAGGCAAAACAACUUGUCAAUGAUUCAAUAAGGAUAACGGAAGGAAUAUUGAAUCCUUCAAGGGAGAAUCGGAAAAAAUUAAAUAGCACAUUUGCCAUGGAAAGAGAGAAGAUUGGGGCAAUAGUUGUACUUUUGCAAGCACUUGAAGUUGUUGGACUUCUUGAAGCUGCAAGAAAGAGAAUACAGGCACCAGCGUUUGAUUAUCAACACGUUGAACAAGCUCUGCGCAGGUGUAUUUCACUUUACAACGAGCCUCAUACAAGAAACGUGGUGUCGAAAGCCCUCAGGCAGCACUACCUAAAAUGCUUGCACAGCCUCACGCUUAUUGUUCAGCACGAUCCAGACAUCUCGGAUGCACCGCAGAUGCAGGGUCUGCUAGGUGAAUCACAGCGAAUAGUGAAGUUAUUGGGCGAGGAGAACAAUACGAAGUAG
RNAcentral lists this ribosomal RNA (1629 nucleotides) under Triticum aestivum (bread wheat). RNAcentral's name for it is "partial small subunit ribosomal RNA". Lineage: Eukaryota; Viridiplantae; Streptophyta; Magnoliopsida; Poales; Poaceae. The record is from RNAcentral.